This 31-nucleotide non-coding RNA is filed under the name Rattus norvegicus (Norway rat). The record is from RNAcentral. Lineage: Eukaryota; Metazoa; Chordata; Mammalia; Rodentia; Muridae.
UGCUAGGAUGCAGUCUGUACUGAGUCUCUAG